GCCCGACGAGGUGUUGCAGGACCCGACCUGGGAACGUUCCGGACGUACCGAACGCGGCCGUGACCGGUGCCGGGUUCCGAUGCCGUGGUCGGGUAC
RNAcentral lists this transfer RNA (96 nucleotides) under Mycobacterium marinum. RNAcentral describes it as "tRNA-Arg". Lineage: Bacteria; Bacillati; Actinomycetota; Actinomycetes; Mycobacteriales; Mycobacteriaceae. RNAcentral also lists the same sequence under 3 other names. The record is from RNAcentral.